UCAGCACUUAAAUUUCUACAAAACAGAAGUUUGUGCUAAUUAAAAAAAAAGAAAAAAAAAAUCAUGUAAACGCGCCAUAAGAGCUGCGGUCGUUUCCGUGAUUUGAACGCAUGGUGCUCGGUGAGUAUGGCUUAAAACGCAGAGGGAUACUCCAUCCGUCCGCAAGCACGGCGUCUGCCCACUGCGUAACCCGGGGACACAACGAGGGCUGCAGCCACCGCCUCCGGACGAGCUCAAGGUUAGGCGGGGGACAAAGGACUCCGAGCUGUUGCGAGAGGUAACGGCAAAGCUCCUGCAGCAGCUGCAAGAGGCUAAAACAGGAGAAUUUGCUGUGCUCCUUCCCAAAGACUCUCUUCAUUACGUUGCUCUUGUUCAGACUUGCUGGCAGCUUGAGUAUAAAACAUUUUUUGCAUUCACAUUGCCUUUCAUCCAAAGGGGAAAAAGCUAAGUAUUAUUUGUAUUAAUAAGAAAUAUUAUUUCCUUCACAGAUGGGGAAACAGAGACAGAUUAAAUGACUUAUCCAAAACGCCUAGCAAGUCAGUGGCCAAGAGAUGAGUACAACUAAGAAUCCCAGCUCUCAUCCUCUACUCUAAUCAGAGAAAAUAGCACUCCCGCUGUGCUUGUGAGUGCAGGAGAGAUCUACAGUGCAGAAGAAUUUUGCUUCCAGGAGAUAUCACUGACCACCAGGUCUGGUAACUGGCCACCUCUUGCCAAGUGUCAGGAAUAGCUUAAACUAGACUUGAACUAGUGAAACAGAAAGGAGAUUCUCCAGGAUCUGUAUGUUUCUACAUUACUACUGAUGUCAUCGCUUACGUCUGCUUAAAGUGGGCCGUGCAACAUCAUGAUGCAAUGCUCUAGAGGAUGCAGCGUCCCUGCCAGGGUUCAGACCACGAAGGACAGCUUAAAACAUACCAGCGUUCGACAAAUUCUGUGGAGGCAGGUAUUGGUUGCAGAGCUAUAUUUGAGAGUCUUUCAAGCAAUGUUAUCCAUGCAUCUCCCCACUGCACAGCCAGUCUAUUCAUGGCAGAGAUUUUCUUCCAAGCAGUGUGCUAUAUUUAUUUUUUGGUGGGAGAGAGAAUUUUUUUCAGAAACUGGGAUCACAAAAUAGAAGACUCAGUGAACUUGCUUCCCUUGCGCCAGGAACCGUUUGUGAAACAUACGGGAGAUGUUACCUGUUCUGGGAGGAUCUAACCAGCAGUAAAUGGUGUUGGAGGUGUCCAACUAUGCAGAAAGACAGUACUGAAUUGGGCCUCCUGUGUUUUAUUCCUAAUUCUAGAAGGCAGUGAAGUCUAAUAGAGGGCAGCCAGGGACUGGACUGUGGCAGCUUGGCUCCCUUUCUUGGCUGGGCCACUAACAUGGCAUGUUACUGCCACCUUUCCCUAUAGCAUAGGGAUGGAAAUAUUAGUCUCCCUCGUUGGGAGGGUAUGGAGUUGAAUUAAAACAUACCUGCAAUUCUCUAUGCAUCUCGAGUCUGGUAAAGCAGGAUGCCAAAAUGUAAACUCCAAUGAAUGUCAGAUGGGAAGGCCUGUAUAAUUUACAUGGCAGCAACCUGGAGACUCAAAAGACAAUAAUAAUCCCCCAAUAGCUCUACAGUCAUUUUGCUUUCAGUUGGGAACUCCAUUCUUUUCUGGUAAGGAAAAUUGGAGGAUGCAUUACCUGCAAUUCCCGUAUCACGGGACUCUUCUUCAGCUACUAAUCUUUCAUUCCUCCCCCCAGCCCACUUGUAAAUGCAGAAAUUUGCAAAACGGAGAACUACCUGAGCAGUCUUGCCAAGCUGCCGUGAAAAUCUAACGGCCUAAGCAGAAAGCAAGUUUGCCUCUUCUUGUGCUGGCCAGGUAAAAAUAGAAAACAACAAAAAGGUAUUUUACUCACCCAUGAAAAGGAAAGCUACUUGCCCCAGACAAGAACUGUAUGAUGCUGCACAGUAUGGUCCAGAGUUCAUUUUAUGAAUGAUAAUUAAUAAGAACAUAGCAUAUCAUAAAAUACACUUUUGCAAGGUAUAUGAUAAGUCUUCUGACAAGCGUGCACAGAAAUGCUCCGCAGUGUCUCCACGCAUAGACCCACUUACCAUUUCACAUGACACAGUACAUACUAAGACCUGAUUCUGCCCUCACUUACCCCAUGGACAAGUUGGAAAAUGUCUGGAUCAAAGUCACUAGCUUUACAUGGUACAAAACCAGAAUGAGAAGAGACGAGCUCCCAGUUCCCCUCAGCAGCAAAGGGCCAGGGGAGGAAUGAUUUCAAGCAUGGAAAGGCUGACAUGUCCUAGUUCAAAAUGAACAGUAGUAAGUGCUGUUCCUUCAGCUGACAUCAAACUGUUCACUGAUCAAAGGCAGCUGUAACCAUGUAUUUUCUGUUAUUACUCAACUUCUUCCUGUACAGCACUUUAGAUCCUGAUACUUGCUCACCCCACAUAACUAGGUGCUGCCUUAACACAUCAUCUAGGUACCUAACUUCAUCCUCCACAAACAGUUGCCAAUUGUUUUUGCUUAUUUCUAGGACAGAUGCACAGCUUCCAUUUUGCUAUUUCCAGUGUCUAAAACCAGGCAGUACAGGGAAUGGCAAGGAGGCUUGGAAAAGAAGAAAAAAGCAGAAAGAAAAAUGGAAAGAAGAAUUAAAAUUGAUGUUUUAAAAUACUAGAGGAAGUCCAGGACAUUCAUUUGACUUUGUAGCUCUUUUUGUAAUUACACACCCAAUGAGUCAAAGAGUACAUGAGAACUAAAUGUCAUAUACAUUUUGAAAUAGAAUAAAGUCUAAUUCAACAAGUGUUUGCUCCCA
Molecule: long non-coding RNA, 2778 nt
Filed under: Struthio camelus australis
Lineage: Eukaryota; Metazoa; Chordata; Aves; Struthioniformes; Struthionidae
Description: lncRNA (ENSSCUG00000007248.1)
Source: RNAcentral